This 460-nucleotide ribosomal RNA is filed under the name uncultured bacterium. RNAcentral's name for it is "partial 16S ribosomal RNA". It matches the Rfam family "Bacterial small subunit ribosomal RNA", at positions 338 to 795 of the family's 1533-position model. The record is from RNAcentral.
CCUACGGGAGGCAGCAGUGAGGAAUAUUGGUCAAUGGACGAGAGUCUGAACCAGCCAAGUAGCGUGAAGGAUGACUGCCCUAUGGGUUGUAAACUUCUUUUAUAAAGGAAUAAAACGAGGCACGUGUGCCUUUUUGUAUGUACUUUAUGAAUAAGGAUCGGCUAACUCCGUGCCAGCAGCCGCGGUAAUACGGAGGAUCCGAGCGUUAUCCGGAUUUAUUGGGUUUAAAGGGAGCGUAGAUGGGUUGUUAAGUCAGUUGUGAAAGUUUGCGGCUCAACCGUAAAAUUGCAAUUGAUACUGGCAGUCUUGAGUACAGUUGAGGUAGGCGGAAUUCGUGGUGUAGCGGUGAAAUGCUUAGAUAUCACGAAGAACCACGAUUGCGAAGGCAGCUUACUAAACUGUGACUGACAUUGAUGCUCGAAAGUGUGGGUAUCAAACAGGAUUAGAUACCCCUGUAGUC